UGUGAGCUUCUUUGUGGGUGCUUAGAAUCAAACCUAGGUCCUCUGGAAGAGGAGCAAGUGCUCUUAAC
Molecule: microRNA precursor, 68 nt
Filed under: Mus pahari (shrew mouse)
Lineage: Eukaryota; Metazoa; Chordata; Mammalia; Rodentia; Muridae
Description: miRNA (MGP_PahariEiJ_G0006772.1)
Source: RNAcentral